UACGUAGGCAGCGAGCGUUGUUCGGAAUUACUGGGCGUAAAGAGUGUGUAGGCGGUGUUCCCAGUCUGUUGUGAAAUCUCCCGGCUUAACUGGGAGGGUGCAGCGGAAACUAGAAUGCUAGAGGGUGGGAGAGGUAAGCGGAAUUCCUGGUGUAGCGGUGAAAUGCGUAGAGAUCCGGAAGAACACCGGUGGCGAAGGCGGUGAGCUGGGCAAUUGCUGACACUGAGGCGCGACAGCGUGGGGAGCAAACAGG
RNAcentral lists this ribosomal RNA (253 nucleotides) under uncultured bacterium. RNAcentral's name for it is "partial 16S ribosomal RNA". It matches the Rfam family "Bacterial small subunit ribosomal RNA", at positions 524 to 776 of the family's 1533-position model. The record is from RNAcentral.